RNAcentral lists this transfer RNA (63 nucleotides) under Brachyrhynchus triangulus. RNAcentral's name for it is "tRNA-Arg". The record is from RNAcentral. Lineage: Eukaryota; Metazoa; Arthropoda; Insecta; Hemiptera; Aradidae.
AGCAAUGAAGUAAAAUUUACAAUUAGUUUCGACCUAAUCAUAAAGAGAACAUUCUCCUUGCUU